GCUUAACUGUGGAUACGCAUUUGAAACUUCAGUACUUGAGUUCAGGUGAGGAGAAUGGAAUUCCAGGUUUAGGGGUGAAAUCUGUAGAUAUCUGGAAGAACACCAGUGGCGAAGGCGAUUCUCUAACCUGAUACUGACACUGAGGCGCGAAAGCGUGGGGAGCGAACAGGAUUAGAUACCCUGGUAGUCCACGCUGUAAACGAUGGACACUUGGUGUUGGAAGAGAUUAAUCUUCUAGUGCCGUAGCUAACGUGUUAAGUGUCCCGCCUGGGAAGUACGGUCGCAAGACUGAAACUCAAAGAAAUUGACGGGGGCCCGCACAAGUGGUGGAGCAUGUGGCUUAAUUCGAUGAUACGCGAGGAACCUUACCAGGGCUUGACAUGCAUCGGACAGUCCCAGAAAUGGGGUUUCCCUUCGGGGCUGAUGUACAGGUGCUGCAUGGUUGUCGUCAGCUCGUGCCGUGAGGUGUUGGGUUAAGUCCCGCAACGAGCGCAACCCUCAUUCCCUGUUGCUACCGGAUAAUGCCGGGCACUCUGGGAAAACUGCCGGUGACAAACCGGAGCGAAGGCGAGGAUGACGUCAAAUCAUCAUGGCCCUUAUGCCCUGGGCUGCACACGUGCUACAAUGGACAGUACAAAAGGUUGCGAAACCGCAAGG
RNAcentral lists this ribosomal RNA (657 nucleotides) under uncultured organism. RNAcentral's name for it is "bacterial SSU rRNA". It matches the Rfam family "Bacterial small subunit ribosomal RNA", at positions 607 to 1262 of the family's 1533-position model. The record is from RNAcentral.